This is an RNA transcript of Alligator mississippiensis (American alligator), 1311 nucleotides long. RefSeq lists it as uncharacterized. The transcript is spliced from 5 exons. The record is from RefSeq and is a predicted model, not a curated record. Lineage: Eukaryota; Metazoa; Chordata; Crocodylia; Alligatoridae.
CUGCCGCAGGCAGGGGCCGGGGUGGAUGCGCUGCCGCUUAUUAGACCCACGACGGAGUUGGCCAGAUCGUUCCGGGCAGAGCUCUCGCGGGCCAGCGCCCUCCUUCCGGCCCAGGGAGAGCCGGCGGGUCCGCCGCAAGCGUCCUGCGCGGCUUCAGGGCCGUCGGUUGCAGCCGUGCUGGUCUAAGGACCCAGCCUGUGCAGCUGCAGGCGCCUCGCCCGCCCUUCCGCCCGCUGCGCCUUCGCGCCCGCCUUUCAAAACGGAGCGGACAGCCCCCCAUCCCCUCCGCCGGGCAGCCUCAGCUCCGAGCGCCGCCCAGCACAGGCCGGGCCUGGAGCAGCCCCCCUCCAGGAGCAAGAAGCCCGGCAAGAUGGAAGAAGCCGCUGAGAAGGUGCCUGAGAACAGGCUGGAGAGCAGCACCGACCAGCCGCCGCAAGCUACCUGCCCCUGCCAGUGCAAGUGUCAUUCCAUACUGCUAAGCAGUGCAAGACUGCAACACCGAUUUUCAAACCACCUCUGGCAGUCCUUUCUCCAGUCCUGGAGGUCUCCUCCGGCACUGACUCGAUGAAGUCCUCAUGGUGGAGGAUGCUUCAGAUGCCUCAUGGAGGAGGAUGUUCCUGUAGUUCUCUUGCCUUCUCUCUGAGGGACACUACAAGGAGGCACUACUCACACUGCAGGCACUCCCUCACUUGGCCAUAAUUGGAAGGAACUUGCAAGCCGCAGUCUCCACAGCAUCAAACUGAGACCUGGGUGGAAGCCUUGAUGACUGUACAAUACCUCCAACAAUGGUAACAGCUGUCCGGUUAACUGUGCAGGAAGACGCCGUACCUAGUAAGUCACCUCUGAGCACCAAGGAGAUCCAGACGCAUCCAAAGUCUAACAUUGCAAAGGAAGCCUUAGCAUGAACAGAUCCACACAGGAUGUGCUACCUCGUUCCCAGUGUAGGCAAUAGCCCCAGUGUAAAAUAAACUCUUCCCACCCCGCAGAACACCAAGAAUGGUGCAGUCUUUUUUUAUAGAGCCAACACCACCUGUAUUAAUCUUGGGUCUGUAACUUCAUUUCACCCUUCCUACUAGUGCAUCUGAGGCACUCCCCACAGCCAGGCAAGACCCAGUGCCUUGAGAAAAAGGCAAGCUCAAUUCUAAGGAAGCAAGAAACUUAAAAACUGAGGUCAAAUUUAAGCUGGUAUCCCCUAUUCAGAUGCUGAAACAUGGUGGAACAGAAAUCCAAGGAGAUGGAUAAUAAAUACAGGGACAGUUGAAGUCCAUAUUUAACAAAGUAUGCUCUAAUUAAAGUCAGCUAGGAAUCACA